ACUCCUACGGGAGGCAGCAGUGAGGAAUAUUGGUCAAUGGACGCAAGUCUGAACCAGCCAUGUCGCGUGCAGGACGACGGCCCUAUGGGUUGUAAACUGCUUUUGUAUGGGAAGAAAGUUAGCUACGAGUAGCUAUUUGCCGGUACCAUACGAAUAAGGAUCGGCUAACUCCGUGCCAGCAGCCGCGGUAAUACGGAGGAUCCGAGCGUUAUCCGGAUUUAUUGGGUUUAAAGGGUGCGUAGGCGGACUGAUAAGUCAGUGGUGAAAUGCUGCAGCUUAACUGUAGAAUUGCCGUUGAUACUGUCAGUCUUGAGUACAGUUGAGGUAGGCGGAAUGUGGUGUGUAGCGGUGAAAUGCAUAGAUAUACCACAGAACACCGAUUGCGAAGACAGCUUACUAAAGUGUCACUAACGCUGAUGCACGAAAGCGUGGGUAUCAAACAGGAUUAGAUACCCUGGUAGUC
RNAcentral lists this ribosomal RNA (463 nucleotides) under uncultured bacterium. Its description in RNAcentral is "bacterial SSU rRNA". It matches the Rfam family "Bacterial small subunit ribosomal RNA", at positions 335 to 795 of the family's 1533-position model. The record is from RNAcentral.